AUGUUUGCCUCCUGCGCGCAGCUCUCGCCGCGGCUGCGCGUGCGCUGGACGCUCCGCGAGGCGGCCAACGCCAUCGACGUCGGGCUCGAGGCCGCCGUCGGGUCCGAGUACUACAUGGCGUUCGGCUGGGCGGACCCCGCCAGGAACGUCUCCAUGAUCGGCGCCGACGUCGCCGUCGCGGGCUUCACCGAGGAGGGCCUCCCGUUCGCCGACGACUACUUCGUCACCAAGUACAGCGAGUGCCUGCUCCGCGGCGACGGCGGCGCCGAGGGCGUCUGCCCGGACACGUUCUACGACCGCCGCAACGGCAGCACCGCCGGCGACGCGUCCGUCAACAACACCAGGCUCGUGUACGGCCACCGCCGCGACGGCGUCUCCUUCGUGCGCUUCUCGCGCCCGCUGGCGUCGCCCGACAAGAGGUACGACGUGGCGGUCAAUGCCACGAGGGAGAUGACCGUGAUCUGGGCCAUCGGGCUGCUCCGGCAGCCGGACUUGCUGAGGCCGUAUUACCUGCCGCUCAACCACGGCGCGCCGGCGGGCACCGCGUACGGGUUCCUCACGCUCAACGUGUCCGCGGCGACCAACGGGUGCCCCGGGCCGCUGGACGCCGAGGACAAGGAGGACCAGGGCAGGAUCACGGCGGAGCGGCAGACCCCGCUGGUGGUCACCACGGGGCCGGCGCUGCACUACCCCAACCCGCCCAACCCAGAAAAGGUGCUCUACAUCAACAAGAAGGAGGCGCCUCUGCUCAAGGUGGAGCGCGGCGUGCCGGUCACCUUCUCCGUCGAGGCCGGGCACGACGUGCCGCUGUACAUCACGUCCGACGCCGUCGGCGGUAACGCCACGGCCCGGAACAUGUCCGAGAUAAUCUACGCCGGCAGCCCGACUGCAGAGGGCGUGCCGGCAACGCCUACAGAGCUUGUCUGGCUGCCUGACCGCAACACGCCGGACCUAGUAUACUACCAAUCCCUCUACGACCCCAAGAUGGGUUGGAAAAUUCAGGUGGUCGACGGCGGCCUCAGCGACAUGUACAACAACAGCGUGCUGCUGGACGAUCAGCAGGUGACAUUCUUCUGGACUCUGUCCGGCGACUCCAUCAACAUCGCGGCCCGCGGCGAGAAGAAGAGCGGGUACAUUGCCAUCGGCUUCGGCGGCGCAAUGGUGAACAGCUACGCCUACGUCGGGUGGGUCGACAGCAACGGCAAGGGACAUGUCAACUCGUACUGGAUCGACGGAAAGGACGGCAUGAGCGUGCACGAGACGCACGAGAACCUCACCUACAAGAGGUGCCGGUCGGAGAACGGCGUGAUCAUAUUCGAGUUCACCCGUCCAUUGACGCCUUCGUGCAGUGGAAGGGUGGAGUGCAAGAACAUCAUCGAUCCCUCGACACCUCUGAAGGUCAUCUGGGCCAUGGGCUCCCAGUGGUCAUCUGGCCGACUGAGUGUGAAGAACAUGCACUCUGUCACUAGCAACCGUCCGGUCCGAAUCCUUCUUCUCAGCGGCUUGGCGGAGGCGGUGGAGGAUCUGCGGCCGGUGCUCGCCGUUCAUGGGUUCAUGAUGUUUGUGGCAUGGGGACUGCUGCUUCCAGGAGGAAUCGUCGCAGCACGGUACCUGAAGCAUGUGAAAGGGGAUCUCUGGUUCCAGGCUCACACAUAUCUUCAGUACUCAGGCCUGGCUGUCAUGUUCAUGGGGGUUCUCUUUGCUGUGGCCGAGCUCCGGGGUUUCUCUUUCAAAUCCACACAUGCUAAAAUCGGCGCGAUAGCAUUUACAUUCACUUGUAUGCAGCCGGUAAAUGCUUAUCUCCGACCACACCAAGCGGAGAAUGGAGAAAUUUUAUCAAGAAACAGGAUCACCUGGGAAUAUCUGCAUACCUACACCGGGAGGACCGCUCUGGUAGCCGCUGUCACGGCACUCUUCACUGGGUUGCAGCAUCUUGGGCACAGGUACGGCAGCAAGACGAUCAAGGGACUUACAUGUGGAUUGGUUGUAUGGGUUGUGAGUGCUGUAUUGGUGGUGGCUUACCUCGAGUACAUGAAGGUUAAGCGAAGAAGAGAUGGCGUCGAUGGCCUUAUGCACAAAUUUGUGCUCGGCAACACUGAGGAAGACGAUUCAGUUGAUCUUCUGCAGUCCGAUAGGUUCGACAGUAAAAUGGACUCAGGUUCGCCUGGAUCGAUGGAAGUGCAGCUUGAGCCACUCAAAGGAUGA
RNAcentral lists this ribosomal RNA (2205 nucleotides) under Triticum aestivum (bread wheat). Its description in RNAcentral is "partial small subunit ribosomal RNA". Lineage: Eukaryota; Viridiplantae; Streptophyta; Magnoliopsida; Poales; Poaceae. The record is from RNAcentral.